UUCCCUUCCCCCAGGGUCAAUUAUGUUCUGAUAAAACCCCAGCAGGUUAGCCUCUAGUUAAACAGUUUCACCUGAGAGCAGACCUUGUUAAGAAGAACAAGGUGCUCUGGGGUUUUUAAAAAUGAUUCCUUUUCUCCUCCGCCUGCUGGAAGCACCAGGAGAUUUUUCGCAUGUUCACUGUGAACCCAGUAGAGCCCUAAGAUGUAAAUUCAUAAAAGUAUUGGGGCCAUCAGAUGACUAAGUCCUCUUGGAGUAUUUGCUCUUCACUGAGCUUCAUCAAUUGCAUUUCAGUCUUCCAACUCUGACAGUGGUUCCCAAGGAGGUUUUGGCUUGUGGGUCUCUGCUCAGCCCCCCAGUACAUAGUUGGAUAUUGCAAUUUCAGGUCCUUCUGGCUCUGCUUUGUGGGACACCCCCUCAGCACAGCUUCAUGAAUGGUGCUAGGUCUGCACCCAGGAGCCCAACCAGUGAAACCCUGGUCUGUCGAAGUGGAGCAGUGAACUUCACCACGCAGCCACAGGGCCGGCCCCUGUAUGAAAUUUUCAAUGGACGUAUUUGACAAAGGACUUAUAUCUGAAAUAUGUUAAGCAUUCUUGCCACCAAUAAGAAAAUCACUGACUAUGCAAUAGAUAAUAUGGGCAAAUGAUUUGAAUUUAUAUAUUAUAAAAGAUGAUAUAAAAUGGUCAUUCAACUUAUGAAAAUAUGCUUAAAAUCAUUAGUCACCAGGAAAAUGCAAUUUAAAAUUACAUUGCAAUGCAAUUGCACAACCAAAAAGAAUGACUGAAAUGAAAAAUUGACACUACCAAAUAUUAGCAAAGAUAUGGUGCAAAUGGAAAUCUCUUACACUUCUGGUGUCAGUUUAAGUUGAAGCACCCAACCAAUUGGUUUGCACUAUCAUCUAGUGUUAAACAUACACACAUUUUAUGACUCAGCAAUUCCACUCCUAGGUAUUUACCUGAGAGAAAUGUGUACAUUAUUCAUUAAGGACUCGUGUAAGGGUGUUUUUAGCAGCACUUUGCAUGAUGGCCCCAAUUAAAAAAAACAAAAACAAAUGCCCAUUAAAUUUAGUAUACUGUGAUAUAUUCAUGUAAUGUAAUAUUAU
RNAcentral lists this long non-coding RNA (1099 nucleotides) under Equus caballus (horse). Its description in RNAcentral is "lncRNA (ENSECAG00000052915.1)". Lineage: Eukaryota; Metazoa; Chordata; Mammalia; Perissodactyla; Equidae. The record is from RNAcentral.